GAAAUGAUGCGGCCGAUGCCACCACCAGAACCUCGAUGCAUAGUGCAAUGGCGUCAUAGGCAAGAUCUAGUAGCACGUAUGAUUGCACCGGAUUGUUCGCGUGGCCCCGUCUCGCAAGGGGGGUUGUCAGAGGGCGAGGGUGGCGAAAGGGGAAAGGGAUUGAAGGUGGGCGUUCAGUCACCCGAUAUUUCCGGCUCGCUAAUGAGUGCUCGGAGCUCGCUGCCUGCCCCAUGCCUCCUCCGCCUCUGCCUGCCUGCGUCUGCGUGUGGCGAAUCAGGAACAGUAACUGCGGUAGAUAGGUUCAUGCGCUGUGUCCUUUUCCUCUCAGAGGGACGAGUCAUGAGUGCACGGGUGAUUUGGCGCUACUUGUGUUGUGGGUAACGUCGUGCGGCGCGGGUGUAUGAUUCAGCUCCCGCUGUCGCCGCCAUGAAAGGUUCAUAUCCUCGUCCAUUUACAUUUGUUUGGAACUCAAUGGUACAUACAGUACCUUAGUGACGAUCUGGUAAAACACAGUUCGUCAAAACUUACUAGAGGGAAUAGAAUGGCAUACAUUCGUCAACCCGUUACAAUCCUGGCCCAGCUGGGUACAUCGUCGCACAAUGGAGCCCCCAAAUAUUUCUCUCGAGUAGCAGCCUCCCAGGCCACCAAUUUUUUUUUAAAGGAGUUGGCCACCAAAAACUGGAACAGCAAAAAACGGGCAUUGCCCAUGAGACAACCAUCAACAAGUCACUAAUAAAAGCCAAAAGGUAAAGAAGGGCCUGGCAGAUACUGGCAUUCCAUUCUGGUGAGGGGAGUACUUGUAAUUGACAGUCGAAGCGAUGGCGACAUAAAACAUGAUUAUUAUUUUUUCACAUCAAGUUGAGACUUACACCAAAUAAAAUGCCAGGUUUUUGUUUGCAGGCUCAAUCAGCUGGGACUCGCCAUCUUCUCACCGCCCUCUCGAGUACCUCAGCACGUUCAUGCACGCGCGCUGCUUCCUGCUCCACCCAGGACCUGAUACAGAAAAGGAACUGGCGUCAUAUAUGGAUAUCCAGGAUGGUGAGUCCGCACAAAAGAGCUAACUUGCAUACAAUUCAGACAGAUGAUCUUGACCACUCCUUUGACAUCAAUGGAAUAAUAGAUUCUACAUGAUUUUCAUUCAAUAAAGUAUAAGUUAUUUUCCGCUUAUUAAAUUUUCGCAGAUGGACAGGUUUAACAAUAUGCAGAGUUCACACUAGGAUAAAGCACUUUUUCCUGAACUAGAGCAUGCGCACGUAAAUUUUCAAUGCCCACUCUGAUAUAAGAUGAUAAACUAAUGUUUCCUUGGUACCAUAUAAAUAUAUAACCACGGUGCAGGGUCUGCAAGUGCUAUGUAUUAGAACCAUAUACUCAUAACCAAGAGUGAAGGUUGUAUAAUGACAUACCUUAGCAUAGUAAGAGCUUCCUUCUCAGCUUCAAGAUAUGAUUUAGCUUCAGUGACAGCUUGGUGCUUGCUGCUCAUAUCAGAGGACAACUUUUCCAGAUUUUCUUCAUCAGCCAUGACCUCUAGACUCUGGGUGGCUAGUCUAUCAUACAUGCCAUCAACUUCUGACCUUAAACAUACGAGUUCCUGAUUCUGACGCUCUAAAGCUGAUUUUUCUUUUAGCAAGUCUGCAAUUUCCUUUUCUUGAUCCGUCCUCUCAUUUGCAAGCUCGUGCAAAACAUCUUGAAGAUGCUUCUCAACUUCAAACCCAUGGUCUUGCUCCUUUUUCAUCUUGUCUUCCCAAUAAUGUUUUAUAUCCCCUCUAUUAAUUAACUCUUCCAUCAUUUCACCCAUAACAGAAAGCCGGGACUGGUUUUCUGCUUCAAGUCUAUUUAGUUCAUCGCGUACCACUUCUUCCAUUCUACCACUGGUCAGUGCAGCAGCCGCUUGUGCUUUUGUUACAGGCUUAUGAUGUUGAAGGCGCCUGGUGUUUCCUAUCAAAUACAGGCAUAGCACGCAUAAAUUAAUGAUCUUAGCUGAUCCGCUAAGAUUUAAGUACUGAUGUUGGCAACAAUAUGAAUCGCAAAAUGACACUAGAGGGCAAUAUCUAGUACGAGCAACAGUUCUUGUACUGGUGCGUUCAUACAGAAAAUAGUCAGCUAAGGUCAUGCUUGUCCAUAAGUCCACAACUUUUUGUAACAGUUGUUAAACCAAAACAUAAAGAUAUCAUCAUAGAAUCAAGUACCAGGAGAAAUAUGCAGUUGAAGUAAUCAACAGACUGUAAUGGCCUAAUUUGGCACACUUAAUGUCUUCCCCAGAACAUGAAAACCACUUAACAUUCCCAAAAAGUUACAGUUAGAUCCCUCUAAUAUAGAUUCAUACAUUGAGCAGGCAAAUGAGACAGAGAAGCUUUGAGUGGGGAAAGCAUAUAUAGGGCAAAGUUGCCCAAAUUUAUAAGUUCAACUAGCCCUAGAUUCUUUACUUGAUAACACGAGCUCCAUCUAUAUUGUUUACAUAGAAAUAACCCUGUGCAAUCCUGGUUCAGGACAAAGAGAACAGAGAAAACAGACCAUGCUGAGCAAAGAAAACUUUCAUUGCCACUGGAAAUAAUUGAUAGUAGAAUCCACAACCAAUUAUUAUUUUAGAGGAACUUUGCCGUAACAAACUUGCUCUUUUCUUUUUUUUUUUUUGAGAAAACGCAAAAGACUUUUGCGGUUCAUUGUAUUGAAAAGAAGGGGUUUAGUACAAUCCUCCUAGGAGGCAUAUUUACAAGGUGUUAUAGGGAAUUCAUCCAAUACAGAGAAGAAAACAAACUAAAGGCUGAAAAAGUCACACUGCUAUAUGACUUAUUGUGUGGAGGGUAAACAUGGGUGGUGGUUAGCCGAGAACGUCCGAUUAGUCUAAAGGCCUGCCAUGGUGGAGUGCAGGUGCAAGAUAGCCAGGGUUCUCAGAGGUAAACCUCCCCUUUAAGGCCCCCUUUGUUUGGGCUACGGAUUCCUGAGAAUCACUGUGGGUCUGGACUCCUGAGAAACAGCUGUGGCUUUGGAUUCCCAAGAAUCAAAAUCAGCUUGUUUGUUUAACCUACUAUGGGACAGCUGUAGGAACUGUAGGGGUUAUGAAAUGCCAGUAAUGCCCCUGAAUGUUGAGUAUGACUUCUAUAUGCUUAUUCAGUGCAAAUUAGUUGUGUUUUCGAGUUUAGAGAGAAAUGACAUGUACAGUUAAUUCAGUGCAAAUUCACAGAUCACAGUUGUUAGGAUUCACCCAAGAAUCAAUUACAUCAAAAUCAUGAACACACGUGCACACAAAACUUAUAGCCAAGGGCUCUCGUCGUGCCCUUCCACAGAACAGUCUAGACAGUAGAGUGGUAGACAUACACGGACCGGACAUCCUAGAACUAGUCGGACACUACCUUGAAACGUACCUGAACUAGUACUCAAACUAACGCAACACGCUACGCACUAGUUUAGUGCUAACUCACGGCUCACAUGGGCAUGCAUGUGUGCUAGACUCGGCUAAACGAGAUUACUUCUAACAACAGCAAGGUUUAACCUGAACUUCUCUGAACCUUAGUACAAAUGAGUAUCCAAUCAUUCUAUCAAGUGAUCCAUAUUAUCUCACAAGUUUCAGGCCACCUGAUCUGAAACAAAGGGAAUCCUCUAGCAAUCUAAUCCAUGUGGGGAGCGAACUGUGCUCCCACUAAGGUAUCGAUCGAGAAGUCCCUAUGCAUCAUACAUAGCCCCGAAGAUUCACUACAUCACGCAUGCAUGGACAUCGAGGUAGCAGCACCUGCUCCUGUGUGCGGCCUCCUCCCGCCGGCCUUGGCGCCCUCGCACAUAGCCCCUACGCCCGCUCUCCUCUCGCAGCCUUGCAGGCUACGUCGCCUGCGGACACAGCCACUCAGGCACGAUGGCGGCGUCUCCCGGUGCGCGCCACAGCACCGCUAUGCCGGGCGUCGACCGGGCCUACGGGGACGCUGCCACAAGGAGACGGCCGACGAGGCCCUAUGGGAGCCCCUACGCUCGCUCUCCUCUCGCAGCCUUGCAGGCUACACCGCCUGCGGACACAGACACUCAGGCACGACGGCGGCGUCUCCCAGUGCGCGCCACAGCACCGCUACGCCUGGCGUCAACCGGGCCUACGAGGACACUGCCACAAGGAGCCGGCCGACGAGGCCCUAUGGGCCGCCGCCAUCCUCCCCCUCCCUCGGAGGCGGCGGUUGGGGGAAUAUCUCAAGAGAGAUGAGAGAGGACUGGUUGGAACGUCGACGGUUCGCUCGGGUGAGGACUACAGUGGCAAUUUCAUUGUAAUUUUGAUUGAAGAAAGGGGUAAGCACCCAAAACGAACCGUUUUCUUUUGCGGGGAGCUUCAAAAUCCCUAGAAUCAUCAAAACCACUGCUUCCAGCUUCGCUUCGCUGGUAUUUCCCCUUUUUACAAACUAUUCUGGGAAGCUAUGUAGGAAUCUGAGGUGUUUGUUUGAGCUUCAGAUUUUGGAAGGCCUAGAAUCUGGGAAUCAGUAACUGCAGCCCAAACAAAAGCCACCUGAAUAGUUUAUACAUUGACCGUCGAUUUGUCUUCCCCGUACAGCCUCUCUCUCUCUCUCUCUUUACUAUAAAGAGUCAAUCCUCUAGUACAACUGAAAUAGAACCCCACCGUAGUAUGAAGUCAAGAGACUUCCAAUUUGGUGUGUCCCCCUGACCUGGAACGAACAGACCCUGCAACCAAUUAGUGCCAACACUAAUCUGGUGCUAACUGAUUGAUUCUGAAACCAAGUUGAUGGAACCAAUGCUAAUAUGAACUCAAAAGACUUCCAAUCAGGUGUCUCUCCAGACUUCCAAACAAACUGAACCUGAAACAAAUUAGGUGUCAAUCAACUGACUUCGUGACCAUGUCGAUGGAUGUAAAGGCCCUGUGCUGCUGCACGCAGAGACAGAUAUCCUUGUGGGCACACCUGCUGUAGUACUUCUACUACAUGAUACAUACAACUUGAGAAUAAAAAUAACAGCAUAACUUUAUGCAUGAGCUCAAUAGUAGAAAAAAUAAGCCAAAUAACUGAAAGAGAGGCAGAGACCGCAGAGAUGCAUGACACUGAAACAAAGCACAUGGAAAACACAAGUUAAAACACACCAUUAGCAUAUGGCAAAGUAAAACAGAGCUCCCAGUCACUAAAAUAAGAAAUCAUCAAAAUUACAAAGGAAACUUUAGUCUUCAUAAUGUUAAUACUAAUCUUGAUGCGUGCGCGGUGCGCCGGUGGCCGGACUCGCGGAGCUGGCUGUUCGUGGCUGUGUGGUUCAUGAAGACUCGGCCAGGUCGUUCGAGUCGUACGGCCUGAAGCAAUUGCGUCGGCCGAGCCAUUGGGCAGCCGUGGACUGCAGACGUGCGUGGACGUGCAUGUUGUUAGUUGGUUAACUAGCUACAUGGACGGCCGGGUCGUGUGGACAUUGUGGUGAAGCUGAACAUGAGCGUGAGGAUAGCUAGGGAAUGGUUAGUGGCUGGCGUGUGGUCAUGCGUGCGUGUGUGUGCACCGGGUAUAAAACCACCCCUCAUGUAUUGCUAGUUGUUGCGACGGUGUGAGGGAGACUGAGGAGAGAUGUAGUCUCCAGGUGUGUGCACGCGUUCACCAUGAUGAGGAAGAUGUAGUCUCUGUCGGGACUGUGGUGUGCCCGGUCGACAGGAGAGUUCUUUUGGGUAGUACUACGUGUGUGUGUGUGUACCUCCAUGUAUGUGUUCGAGUCCUUGUGAGAAAUAAAGCCAAGAUACAGGCGUUCGUGCACCGCGGCGUUCGUUGCCGGGAAAAUCGUGGUGUCUCCUUCGUCUACCUCCGCCCGGCGUUUCUGUCGCCGGGAGGCCGCUAGGCGUGUGUCGCCGAGGAGGGUUUGUGUGUCCCAACAGAUAAUCCUGUUAGUAAUGCAAUUUAUAGAAAAUCCUAGCCUUGCAACCAAUUGACGGCAUAUAUAAAUAAAUUAUUAGCAGAUCAUACCAAAAACUUUGCUGACGAUGUUGUGGUCACCAUCAAACAAGUCCGUAAGUACGGACGCUGUUACAUCUGGCCAAGCGCUCAAAUCCAAAGUAUGAACAUUUUUACUCAGCAUCUGGACUGUAACCAGAGUCAGGAUUCACAGAAGAAUGAAACAAGAGAAUAGAAACACUGCAGUAGAACACAUAAAAAUCAGAAGAUAUAUGUACCUUUUGGUCUAAUUCUGAUGCAAAUGGAUACUCCACUAGUAGUUUCCAGUUAACAAGAUCAAAACGUGACAGAUAACUACAGCAACAAAGAAUGCUUUUUAUUAAAACAUCUUAGUUAUCACCAUUAAGGGGAAACUAUAAAUUCCAUAUGUUAGUACCUUUCAGGUAGGAAGUUGGAAUUUCUGUUGGCACUUUGAUAGCCAUUUGUCGAUGUUCCAAAGAAGCUUGAUAGCUUGCUAGGCACAAUGCCAGAUUCUCCUAAAGCUUUUCACCAUCAAAACAAUUAUUAGAUUACCAGCAUCUGAAAAUCCAACGAAAAAUAUUUUGUUUCACAACAUAGGCUCAGAAAUCAAAAGAGCGUCACUUGACAUUGCAUGCCCAAAGUAGUGUGGAAGGAAAGACCAUCUAUUUGUUCGUUACCAGGUUCAACACAAAAUCAUAAAUAAGCACUACGAAGGUGGGGUGUGUGCAUUGCCAAGACUUGCUGUGGUCAGCAUCGGUUUGGCUAGGUGCAUAUGAAGCCUAUCUUUGAGAUGUAAGGAAUUGCUACACAAAGCUUUAGGCCAUUCAAUAUACAUAGAGACUUACACUGAAUAUACAAGAAAUCCGGGUCAUCAAAAUUUACAUCAUCAAACGCACUUUCGACUGAACCAGAAGUUAUUAGAUUCGGUAUGAUCCUGUGCAUCCUUUUCCUGCAAGACAGUGAUAAAUAAGGCGAUGCUAAAAUGCCAUGCAAAGCUCAGAUGUUUUUUAAAUACUGCAUUGCUUCAUUACCUCUCUAAUUUAGAGCAUAAUUUAACAAACCAUCUUGCAAAUUCCCUCCUGGUACAAAAGUCACCAGAGCUAGCAUCAUUCUCAAUUAUCUGAGGCACAGAAAAGUGAUAAACAUCGUUAGAACUAAUGUUGCUUUAAAAUAACUGCAUUUUUCUUACAGAAGACAGUUAAGCUGAAAGGGAUUGACAAGUGACUCAUAAAUACACAGCACGUUGUGUAAACUACAUAAACACUGGAAGUUCAAACAUAGUAGGAGCGUAAUUUAAGAUCGACAUGAUAUUUAAUAAGUAUUUUUUUUCAGGAAUGAUAUUUAGAUAAGUAUAUGAACUAGGUGAUUAAGAUAUUGUUUUUCUUUGUCUAAUUAAUUGUCAGGUGAUACUGCACAACAACACACAAAAUUAAUAUGCAAAGAAGAUGCAGAAUCCAAGUGAGAAAUAACAACAAGGAUUUAUUUUUCAUAUCAGGUGCCAUACUGAAACCUAAACUAAUAUGUAAAGUUGUAAAUAUGUAACACACCUGUAGCUUCUUCAAUAUGGACAAAGCUUCCUCAUGCAUGGGAUCUACAGGAACUGUGAAAGAAAUACGGACACCACCAGCUGGUAUAUGAUUUUGGCUUGAAUCAUUAGGUGAUGUGUCAUUCCUCUCAUCAACAUCUACCCUAGAAACAUCAAUUGCAUCAUCUUCAGGAAUUUCUGUCGAGUCGGGCACUGAAAGCUUCUCUUGAACAUAAUGCAAUGGGGCACCGAUAAGUUGCUGUAAACCUGAAAAGCGCCAUCGAUUUUUUUAGUCUAGUUCUUCCAUUACCCUGAAACGAGCUAACUCCAUCACGGGCACGGCGAGGGGGGCAUCGCUGCCAUCGUAAACACGUCAGGCGUAAAGCUAAUCUAUAGCAGGCUAGCAGAGAUUAAUGUUGUACAAGAGUAGACAGUUCCCAACAACCAAACAAUUCACAAGCACACCUUCCCAUUUUGAAGUGCAAGAAGCUGGUGACAAUAGUACAAGUACUUGGGUAACAAAGAUUCAGACAAAUUCUACAAUGCUCUACUGUAUUUCCACUAUCCUCUUACAAUUUCCAGGGACCAGUAUUUACAUUGUUGGGGCUAAAAUGGGGACGAACUUACACUUCCUCGACGAUGGAGAGCGCCACGCGAUACCAGCCAAAGCGAUCGCUGCCGAAGCACCCAAUCCGACCACGAGAGAUUUCCCGAACCCUGCAAAUGCAAUCCCCACGUGUCACAGCGGAACAACAAAAUAUCCUCUCAAAGGUACAGUAUCUCCGCGUCCUGUGCACGUCGAGCAGCGUACUCAGUCAGAGAUCUACCUGCCCUCCCCUUCUCCGCCGGUUGCUCGGGGAGCCACCAGCCGCCAAGCCCGUCGUCCGAGCUGCCGCCGCCGGCUGGGACCCAGCUAGCAGACGCCUUAGCGGCCGCGCGGCGGCGGAGCUGCGGAAGGAGAGGGGCGUGGUGCCGCGGUGGCGGCGGGGGCGGGGUGAGGCGGAGCGUGUAGGUGGUGGCGGUGGCCAUGCCGCGGCGCGACCGAGGGCUAGGGUUUUUAUGCCGCCGGCCUCAUCGUACGGCGUCCAUUUUGGGUCUAGUGCAAAAGUCCAACUCAACCGGCCGAGGCCAAAUCCCCUGUUUUGACCCUUUUACGCCUCCUUUGAUUCACAGGAUUUGCAUAGGAAUUUUACAGGAUUGGCAUCGAUUUUUUCCUCUACAUGUUGUUUGAUUCGCAGGAUUGCAUUCCUCAGAACCAAUCCUAUAGGUACUUCUUAGGGCCUCUUAGAUUCGUAGGAUUCUCAAAAUGCAGAAAUAGAAAAAAGUAGAAAUAGAGUGGCACGUCCUUUUCUACACUACAGGAUUUGGAAGUGUGUUUGAUAGCAUGGAAAAACAAAGGAAUUCUAUAAAAAGGUUUGAGUGGAUGAAAAUUUUCCUCCAAAUGUAGUACAAACGAAUCCUAUGAAAAAAAUUCAAAGGAUUUCAAUCCUACGAAUCAAACGACCAUCGUAGGAAAAAAUCUUAAGGAUCCAAAUCCUUCAAAAUCCAAUGAAAUUCCUUUGUAUCAAAGGAGCCCUUAGUUCAUUUUCACAGGAAAACAAGCAUGAGGUUGGACUUCAUAGAAAAAUUCCUUUGUUUUGCUUACCCGACGUAGGAUUUCAGUGGGCAGUGCAUCCUAUUCCUGAAUGUUUCCUAUUCCUAUGCUUCCCGAACCGUGUGAAUCAAAGGAGCCCUUAGCAUACUUUAGCCCAAUUUGACCGUUUGUAGAAAAAAAAAUCGAAUCUAACUCUUUUUCUAUCAUCACCUGUUGUGGCACUACGCAUACACACCCUACAGCCAUUUUUUAUGAUGGUAGGGUUUGGGUCAGCGCAGAUAGCGUCGCCUGACCUUGCUGACGUGGAUAAGUGCCUACCGUAGGAUGUGGUUUUCUACCGCCACAACAGGUGGCGGUAGGAUGUUGAGACAUUUAAUUCUUUUGUGACGGAAUUAAUUGUCUGAACACCCUAUCGUCAUCCGUUGUGGCGAUAGGCAUACACAUCCUACCAUCACUCUCUAUGACGAUAGCUAAUUAUCCAUGUCAGCGGGUCAAAUGGCAUCGUCUGCGUUGACCCGAACCCUAUCACCAUAGGGAGUGACGGUAGGGUGUGUAUGUCCACCGCCACAACGAUGGCGAUAGAAAAAGGAUCGUCUCCGAAAAAAUUACAAAUGGGGUCAGAUCGGGCUAAACUAUUCUAGAAGGAUCAAACAAUGAAAUUGUCCACGAGCCGACGCACUAACGCACUAUCCGCUUUUCGUUGUUUGGAUAAGAGUGAGAUGCAAAUCAACCUUUGUCUGGAUGAUUAGAAGGAUUGUGAUAUCCUAAUUCAUCAGGGUUCAAGUCUUGAUGUUUUGCAUUAUUCUAAAUUUAUUUUAGGAUUUUCGGCGAUGCGCAUUCAGUGGGAGGAGACGUUUCCGUCGACGACGAGGUGUCUAUGGUGACUUCGUGAGUUCAAAAUGAUAUGUCGGCUCACCCUCUUGAAGGUGCUUAUAAGAGUAGGUUGUGCAUGUGUACAUUCAUAAGGAUGAGUGUAUGUGCGUGUAUAUGAACAUUUUGUUUGUAAUGUGUUAAAAAAGGACGAGUGUGGCCGGUUUUGACCGCACAUACAUUGAAAAAAC
This 10047-nucleotide long non-coding RNA is filed under the name Hordeum vulgare. Its description in RNAcentral is "long non-coding RNA (HVUL_LNC018317)". The record is from RNAcentral. Lineage: Eukaryota; Viridiplantae; Streptophyta; Magnoliopsida; Poales; Poaceae.